This is a small nucleolar RNA of Zingiber officinale, 102 nucleotides long. RefSeq annotates it as small nucleolar RNA SNORD90. The record is from RefSeq and is a predicted model, not a curated record. The transcript has a single exon. NCBI's taxonomy places the organism in Eukaryota, Viridiplantae, Streptophyta, Magnoliopsida, Zingiberales, Zingiberaceae.
GUCCCAGAUUUUGGGACGAAUCCUGGAUUCGUCCCAGAUUUUGGGACGAAUUCUGAAUUCGUCCCAGAUUUUGGGACGAAUUCUGAAUUCGUCCCAGAUUUU